UGGGGAAUUUUGGACAAUGGGGGAAACCCUGAUCCAGCCAUCCCGCGUGUGCGAUGAAGGCCUUCGGGUUGUAAAGCACUUUUGGCAGGAAAGAAACGUCAUGGGUUAAUACCCCGUGAAACUGACGGUACCUGCAGAAUAAGCACCGGCUAACUACGUGCCAGCAGCCGCGGUAAUACGUAGGGUGCAAGCGUUAAUCGGAAUUACUGGGCGUAAAGCGUGCGCAGGCGGUUCGGAAAGAAAGAUGUGAAAUCCCAGAGCUCAACGUUGGAACUGCAUUUUUAACUACCGGGAUAGAGUGUGUCAGGGGGAGGUGGAAUUCCGCGUGUAGCAGUGAAAUGCGUAGAUAUGCGGAGGAACACCGAUGGCGAAGGCAGCCUCCUGGGAUAACACUGACGCUCAUGCACGAAAGCGUGGGGAGCAAACAGG
This 429-nucleotide ribosomal RNA is filed under the name Acidobacteriota bacterium. Its description in RNAcentral is "Acidobacteria bacterium partial 16S ribosomal RNA". It matches the Rfam family "Bacterial small subunit ribosomal RNA", at positions 355 to 776 of the family's 1533-position model. The record is from RNAcentral. Lineage: Bacteria; Pseudomonadati; Acidobacteriota.